Molecule: ribosomal RNA, 206 nt
Filed under: uncultured bacterium
Lineage: Bacteria
Description: partial 16S ribosomal RNA
Rfam family: Bacterial small subunit ribosomal RNA
Source: RNAcentral
CGCGUAGGCGGCUUGUACAGUCAGACGUGAAAUUCCUGGGCUCAACCUGGGGGCUGCGUUUGAUACGUAUGGGCUUGAGUUCGGAAGAGGGUCGUGGAAUUCCCAGUGUAGAGGUGAAAUUCGUAGAUAUUGGGAAGAACACCGGUGGCGAAGGCGGCGACCUGGUCCGAUACUGACGCUGAGGCGCGAAAGCGUGGGGAGAAACA